UGUCUUCUAAUAUUAUUUGUCUGAGCCUCGAUACUGGUUACUGGCUUACAGUCUGUUACAGAUUGUCUUGCUUUCUCCACUGUGUUGUUUAGAACAUCCAGCAUGUGAAAUCAGAAGUGCUUUAGAUGUGGCUUCAGCACAUCAGUUGCUAACCUAUACUUAACAUAUCUACAGGGUAUAUGUUUUUUUUAGCAAGUAUAUUUCCCUGGAACCUAUGGCUGAUAAACACAGAUUUGGGAAAUGAAUAUGCUUCUUGAAACCAUUCCAUGUGAUAAUAGGAUUACUCCCCCCUCAGUGUUUGUGCUGUCUCAGAAAGCCACUUCCACUACUGCCUGUUUUGUGAAGGAUUUCUACCCCAAGGAUGUUGAAAUCUACAUGAAUUCUACUAGUAGAGAUGUUGGACCUGUAAAGGCCUCCACGGUUCUAUCGCGGCAAGGAAAAUACAGUGCUGUCCUUGUGGCCAACCUGGGAACAGAGAAUGUGCAGUGCCAGGCCAAGCACCAGGAGAGAUGGGUGACAAAUUCAAACUCAAAAGAUCUGGAUAUCCAGCUCAAAGAUGGAGACAAUUCUGAACUCAUUACCUGUCAGAGAGCUACUGAAAGGGUCAACAUGCUCUCAUUGACUGUGCUGGGAGUGAGAGUGUUGUUCUCCAAGGCUCUGUCCUUCAACCUCAUUAUGACGGCAAAGUUCUUAAACCUAUGAGGUUCUGUUGAGCCAUGGACCAAAUGAAGUUCUACCAUGAAAGAUUCGUCCAACGGCUAUCUGUUGUAUUGCGAAUGUGAUCUAAACAGCUAUCUAAUUAUCUAUCUAUCUAUCUAUCUAUCUAUCUAUCUAUCUAUCUAUCUAUCUAUCUUACAUAUCUGCAGCUGUCUUACAUAUAAUAUAUACAAUUUAUUUAGAUUUUUUUAUGAAAUAAUUUCAGUGUAUUGGCAAAUAUUAACUUGUAAUUUGUUAGUAGGUGUGAAACAGGGGUGUGUCAAGAGAGGAGUGGGCCAGUGUGCAGUCUCCAUCUGGGCCCACUUCCUUCCUCUAUAGCUGGCAGCGCGGCACUAGUAGAUUCUGGCUCUUUGCCAGAGUUUUCUAUGCAUGGUGCAGUGGCCAUUUUCCCAGUGAUUUUCCUACUGCGCCCGUGUAAAACGUUGGGAAAAUGGCCUCUGCACCAUUUCCCCGGUGAUUUUGCAGGCCUGCGGCUGCCGGCAAUUGACUCCGGAAAAGUAAGUAUGGAAGAAAUGGGUGCCGGGUGUGCAGUGUGGGCUCCCUUGGACCUAGGGGCCCAUGUGCACCACACACCCUGCACCCAUUAUAGAUAUGCCAUUGGUGUGAGAGCACAAAUCAGACAUAAUUGAACACAGUUCCGAGGGGCAAAAUUACACAGCAGUAACACAUCUCACCAAUUGUCCAUUUCUCUUUACCUGCCUUGUAAAUCUUUUUAAACUUUAUUAACAAAUUGACAAAAUAACAGUACAGUUGUCGCAAAAAGUAUGAGAAACAUUGUUCCUACAUAAUCCUAUUAAUGAUAAUUACUUUUGUAUUACCAGAAAAGCUGACAUUGUAGAGUCUAAUAUGCCAACAGAGAUACAUUUGAAUGAGUUGGUUUUACAGCAGGCUUAUAUAGGGUUAUUCCAGAAUAUAAGGGAUAAGGUGCAAAAUCUUCUUAAAGAAAGACAUGCAAUGGAUUAGCCUAUGCGCAAAUCAGAAAUGUAGGGUAAAUAAAACAUGAUAAUUAUACCUUAUUCUAUAGCUUUACUGCAUGCUUUAUAAA
This is a non-coding RNA of Pseudophryne corroboree (corroboree frog), 1762 nucleotides long. The record is from the annotation of a RefSeq genome assembly. Lineage: Eukaryota; Metazoa; Chordata; Amphibia; Anura; Myobatrachidae.